CAUGCAAGUCGAACGGCAGCGCGGGGAGCUUGCCCCUUGGCGGCGAGUGGCGGACGGGUGAGUAAUGCAUAGGAAUCUGCCCAGUAGCGGGGGACAACCUGGUGAAAACCAGGCUAAUACCGCAUACGCCCUACGGGGGAAAGCAGGGGAUCUUCGGACCUUGCACUAUUGGAUGAGCCUAUGUCUGAUUAGCUUGUUGGUGGGGUAAAAGCCUACCAAGGCGACGAUCAGUAGCUGGUCUGAGAGGACGAUCAGCCACACUGGGACUGAGACACGGCCCAGACUCCUACGGGAGGCAGCAGUGGGGAAUAUUGCACAAUGGGCGCAAGCCUGAUGCAGCAAUGCCGCGUGUGUGAAGAAGGCCUGCGGGUUGUAAAGCACUUUCAGAAAGGAAGAAAAGCUGAGUAUUAAUACUACUCGGUCUUGACAUUAUAUUCAGAAGAAGCACCGGCUAACUCCGUGCCAGCAGCCGCGGUAAUACGGAGGGUGCGAGCGUUAAUCGGAAUUACUGGGCGUAAAGCGCGCGUAGGCGGUCAGAUAAGUCGGAUGUGAAAUCCCCGGGCUCAACUCGGGAAUGGCACUCGAUACUGUCUGACUAGA
RNAcentral lists this ribosomal RNA (600 nucleotides) under uncultured Gammaproteobacteria bacterium. Its description in RNAcentral is "bacterial SSU rRNA". It matches the Rfam family "Bacterial small subunit ribosomal RNA", at positions 54 to 645 of the family's 1533-position model. The record is from RNAcentral. Lineage: Bacteria; Pseudomonadati; Pseudomonadota; Gammaproteobacteria.